UUAAUAAACAUAAGACUCAAGUGAUUAGAUCAUUCCCACAAUUCGCCCUCCUAUUUAGCAUACUAGAUUCUAUGGGGAUAAGUGGUUCAUCCAUAUGGAGAGCCAAAUCCAAAUCUAUACACCUUAGAGUGAAGAGCAUCUUAUUCUUUCGAGCAAAAUAUUUCUCACACAAUAAUAUUAGAAUAUGAGAAAAAUCAAUAAGAAAAGCAGUACUAGAAAUAAUUACACACA
RNAcentral lists this long non-coding RNA (231 nucleotides) under Elaeis guineensis (African oil palm). RNAcentral describes it as "long non-coding RNA (EGUI_LNC017096)". The record is from RNAcentral. Lineage: Eukaryota; Viridiplantae; Streptophyta; Magnoliopsida; Arecales; Arecaceae.